GAGUAAGGGCGACUGAAAUGUCACAAGCUCAGCAUGUGAAUCAGCGUUUAUUUUCAUAAAUGCUGAAUUGUGGUCUUACGAUUCUUGCAACACUUAGUCCAGUCCAUGUUUUUUGGAAUAAAAUAGCAAAGAGGGUGAAACUCCUGUUUGUCUGGACUUGCGAAGCAAAAAUCACUGAGUCGAGUUGUUUGGGAUUGCAGCUCAAAUGCGGUGGUAAAUUCCAUCUCAAGCUAAAUACUGGCAGGAAACCGAUAUCGAAAAAGUACCGUGAGGGAAAGAUGAAAAGAACUUUGAAAAGAGAGUGAAAGAGUACCUGAAAUUGCUGAAAAGGAAGCGAACGAAGCUAGUGAUCGCUGAGUCAUACUUUCCACAUUGCUUGCAAUUUGGACGCUGUGGCCGGCCGAGUCCGACUUGAUUGUAAGUUGUGAAAACAGGCAAAGAAAAGGUUUUUUCUUUUGCCUCAUGCAUGAAUUGCAAUUGAGUUGAACAAAAUAGAUUUGUUUGCCCCGUCUAGAAACACGGACCAAGGAGUCUAACAUAUGUGCGAGUACUGGGGUGCACAACCUCGGUGCGGAAUGAAAGUGUCAGAGGCUAGAAUGAAUUUU
RNAcentral lists this ribosomal RNA (605 nucleotides) under Pinnularia borealis complex sp. RNAcentral's name for it is "partial 28S ribosomal RNA". It matches the Rfam family "Eukaryotic large subunit ribosomal RNA", at positions 81 to 749 of the family's 3401-position model. The record is from RNAcentral. Lineage: Eukaryota; Bacillariophyta; Bacillariophyceae; Sellaphorales; Pinnulariaceae.